RNAcentral lists this ribosomal RNA (335 nucleotides) under uncultured soil bacterium. Its description in RNAcentral is "bacterial SSU rRNA". It matches the Rfam family "Bacterial small subunit ribosomal RNA", at positions 26 to 363 of the family's 1533-position model. The record is from RNAcentral.
AGGACGAACGCUGGCGGCGUGCUUAACACAUGCAAGUCGAGCGGCAGCACGGGUACUUGUACCUGGUGGCGAGCGGCGGACGGGUGAGUAAUGCCUAGGAAUCUGCCUGGUAGUGGGGGAUAACGCUCGGAAACGGACGCUAAUACCGCAUACGUCCUACGGGAGAAAGCAGGGGACCUUCGGGCCUUGCGCUAUCAGAUGAGCCUAGGUCGGAUUAGCUAGUUGGUGGGGUAAUGGCUCACCAAGGCGACGAUCCGUAACUGGUCUGAGAGGAUGAUCAGUCACACUGGAACUGAGACACGGUCCAGACUCCUACGGGAGCAGCAGUGGGAAUA